RNAcentral lists this long non-coding RNA (16919 nucleotides) under Lactuca sativa (garden lettuce). RNAcentral's name for it is "long non-coding RNA (LSAT_LNC003741)". The record is from RNAcentral. Lineage: Eukaryota; Viridiplantae; Streptophyta; Magnoliopsida; Asterales; Asteraceae.
UUUCAAAUUACAAAACUUGAGGGCAAGUUUUGAAACUAUUCAAAACUAAUUAAUUCCAUAACUUAUGUGUUUAAAGUAGUUUUAAUCCAAAAACUCUUCAAGUUCCAUAACUUGAGGACAAGUUAUGGAAGACUUUAAACUAGUAAAAGAACUAACUUUUUCUUUAUUUUAUAACUUAUGGAUUUAAUUAUGGUUACAUAUUUUUCUUUUAAUGAAGUGACUCUUGAACUUCCAUAACUUGAGGACAAGUUAUGGAGUCAUAAAAAUUAUUCAAUGACACAAGACUCUUCAUUUUGUAACCAUUGCCAACUCUUAUGAAUUUUAUGAGUCUUUAAUGUGACUCUUCAUGUAACUUGAGGACAAGUUACACAAACACAUUUUAUACUCAACUCUUAGAUUAAAAUGGAUUGAAAACAACUAUUNUUGAAAAACAGCUUAGGGUAAUGUUCCUAGUCCAAUUCCAGCCAAAAAGUCGAAGAUAUGAUGUUCGGGGGUCCAACUCGUCGAGUGCACGAACCAACUCGACGAGUUGGAUGCAUUUUUCCUUGGACUCGUCGAGUCCCUCCAAGGACUCGGCGAGUCUGCUGUCCAGACAGCAUACAAACUUCGAUUUUUAGCCAAUUUUGCAAGUAUAACAAGAAAACAAGCCUAGGCUCUGAUACCAUUGUUGGGUUUUGAGCAUUCUAACACUCCUAUGGUGUACAUGCAACCCUAGAAACCUUGGAUCUAUUUUUUAUCUAUGAUACAUGCAAAAUUGAUUUUUCCAAGGUUCUUAACCUAUCUAGCAUACAAGAGAACUCUUAAUCAUAAAAGAUAGUAAGAAAACAUACCUUGUAGUGCUUUGGAUUCCUUUCAGAAACUUGUGAGCCUAGCACCCCAAGUGUGAUGCCUCAAAUGUCUCACACAACACCAAAUGCACUUGGAAUAAACCUUGAGAGAAAUGUCACACUCUUGAAAUCGGUUAGCCCUCUUCUUACUUGCUUAAAAACUGAUUUUGGUGAUCAACAUAUUGCUUAUAUAGUGUGUCAUAAUUAGGGUUACACCAUGUAAACCCUAAUUUGACAUGGCUCUUCAUUUCCAUGAUCCAUGGGUUCAAAGACACCAUGGAGCAUCCUAUGGGUUUUAGCCCAACUUGAUAAUCCAUGGAGCAGAAGCCCACUAUACAAGUAUGGAUGAUUUACACAAUCAACCCGUAUAUUUAAUUAGUCUUCUUUUGAUCACUUAAUUAAUUCUUAAUCAAUACUAAGUAAAUAAUCCUAUUAAUAUAUUAGAACUUAUAAUAUAUUAAUAAACCAUAAGUGUUAUUUCUCUCAUUUUAGUCUAUCCAAAUGCAUGAUGCCAUGCAACCCAAAUGGACCAUGCUGAUCGGGUCAAGUACAUCCCAGAAUAGUUAUGAACUUAGACACCUAAUCCAACAUAAACUCUCGUUAUCCCAUGAUGACCGUCGUUUGACUGACAAGCUAGGGGUGUAGGGUCCAACACCUCACCGAAAACGAGUAAUGGAAAACGAGCACUGAUGUGGCCCUCUUGUCUGCAAUGGAAACAAUUCCGUGAAGUCUGCCUGCAAUUACUACCCAAAUGACCCUCACCGCCACAUCUGAGACAUACAAUAGGUCGAAACCUUCCAUUAUGAAACUUCCUGCACCCGCUACACUUGAAACUCCUCCCCUUAGCUGAUCAUGAACCUGGGUAGGCAGACUUAACCCACUUGGCCGCCAAUUCAUAUUGUCUUGAAGUUGUUCCCUCAUCCUUCUGAUGAAUCUCCAACUCAAUCUCCCUCCUCCUGGCGCUUGACUACAUCUCGGUCAAGGUCUGGUGCUGCUGAGUAGAUAAAAACUCUCGAAUCUCCGUCUUGAUCAUACUCAAGUAUCACGACAUAUGUGCCUGCUCUGAAGCGGCGUACUCAGGGUAAAAAAGAGCUCUAUCCAUCAACUUCUUGGUGAUCUCCGUCAGCAACUCAGUUGUCUUCUCGAGCAACAGAUACUCCUGUUACAGUCGCUCAUGCUCCACAAGACAAACAUACUCCACUCGGAAAGUAUCCAGAAACUUCUCCCAAGUCACUGCUGCUCGCUCGGCGUACGAAAAUCUCUAGGUCACAAACUCCCACCAAUCCUUCGCACCCUAACGAAGAAGAUUCAACGAAAAUUUCACAUUCUAUCCAUCGAGACAUGAACAUGUGAAGAAACAUACCUCCACUUCAUAAAUCCAUCUCAAAGCGAUGAUCAGGUCCCUAUCGCCUCUAAACUCUGGAAGCUUCGUUUAACUAAACUCUCGGUAAUGCAUCACCUCGCCUUCCUGAAAUCUUGCAAUGGCGAAGACUGUUGUGGCUGCGGCAGUAGCUAUCUGCAUGACGGAGGCAUAACUCCAGUGAAACUCCUCAAUCAACGUGGUCUUGAUUGACCCAAACAACUCCGAAAUCACCUCCCUGUACACCUCGGCCACUUCGGCAACAAUGAUCUCGUGGAUUUCCUCCUCACCCAUACCUGCUCUCGCAGUGCAUCAACUCCUAAUCCUGAACCUUCAAAAGUCGCCAUACUUAAAAUACACCAUGGAAAGAUCAAUCAUCAAAACAUUAUGCUCAAUACACCAUGCUACCCCCUAUUAGUUCCUUAGUAACCUCAAGAUUACUCCCAAAUCUCAUACAUAUCCUAUGCUUUCAAUAGUACGGGCCCAUACUACCUUCCACACCUAUCCGUAGUUGAUUCAGAAUUCAUCCCAAGAUUCUAAGUCACUGUACUAUACCACUCCUAGGUUUUUCUAACACCUACUUCUCCUACAAUCUACACCUAACUUCCUAGGACCAUCCCCGCCCCCGCACUACUGGUUGCUUUUAUGCACGCUUGUUAUACACAAUACCGGGUCAGAUAGACUGUCGAAUAAUCGACUCUGCCCUAAGUCCACAACUAAAAAUGGAAUAGGAAGUAAGGCUAAUUCAAUCAUUCUAAUGCUAUUUAAUCCCAACCAUAUAAAACUAAUCAACAUACACGUAGCAAUUAAAAAAUCAAUUAACAUAUAGCCUUACUUCCUGGUUGCUUUUGUGCAUUCUUGUUGUACACAAUAUGAGGUCAGAUAGACUAAUGAAUAAUUGACUAUACCCUAAGUCCACAACUAAACAAGGAACAAUAGGUAAGGCUAAUUCAAUCAUUCUAAGGCUAUUUAAUCCCAACCAUAUACAACUAAUCAACAUACAUGUAAUAAUCACAAAAAAGUAACAUAUAGCAAGCAAUUCCCUAUAUCAUAAGGCAUUAUUAAAUCAGGCACUUCUAUCCAACAGUUCCUAAAAGAACCUUAGCUUAUCCACUAGCAUGCUUUUUUAACAGUUUACUUAUAAAAAAAAUCAAAAGCUUAGCACAUAUAACAAGUAUGGAUAUUUUUGGGACCACUUUCAUGUUCGGGCUAUGGCUGACUGUACACACCGCGUAUUCCUGUAAACCAAAGUUAAGUUAAUGUUCACAUUCCCGAUCCCAAGCCGACAAUCAAACAAGAACAUGAAAAAAAAUACCUAGUCGAUGUCCCUUAUCAAACCCUUUAUUAUAAAUUCUUUUACAAAAACAUUUUGUGAAAAUUCUCGGAUCCUAGUUUGAGUCUGGAUUUACACAAGUGUUCCUCCAAUUCACUCAAAAUAGGGCUCUUAUACCAACUUGUAACGUCCCAUUUUCACAACCAAAAAAUUUCAUUUUAUAAAAGUAAAACUACCCAAUUAUAACUCUAUUAUGAAGAACUCCAUUUAUUCCAAAAUACAUUUAUUGAAAAUCAGAGUAAUAUUAAAGCAUAGAAUCUUCAUUGUUGUUGAUGAAUGUGUACAGUCAUGCCUUCUCCUUCCCAUGAUAACUGAGGAUACCUGAAACAAUAAACAAUUGGGUAAACACAAAGCUUAGUGACUUUCCCCCAAACUACCCCAUACGGUAAACAUACAAGCAUGCAUAAUGGCCCACAAUCAUUGGAUUAGAAUGCUCAGACCCCAUCUGUCAUCGGAGUGGAAUGCCAACAUGCAAUGGGUCCAACCAGUCAUCAGACUAGAAUACCCAUGGUUACUUGGCCUACUGCCUUAAUGCAACCACUCAUCUCGAGCCUUCGUGCUUACGGCUUACAUCUGGCCCACACUGGAUAUCUUGGCCUACAACACAAAGCAGGACCACCUCAACCCACUACCACCAUAUGUCGACAUAUAAACAAUCAAAUAUCAAGUAGGCAUAUAAUAUAGGCAAACAUCAAUCAUGCAGCCCACUAUCGCCUACUAGUCCUCUCACAGCACACUGUUAGCUAUGAGAUAUCCUCCAUGAAAUGCGUAACCAUAAGUAAUCAGAGGUGAGAUAGUCACUCGAAUAGAUGAUCCUACUCUAGAGCCACAACCAAACGAGGAACAUGCAAGAAAGCCUAGAUCAAGAGUUAUCAGGCUAUCUUACAUGACUACAUACAACCCCAAGAGCACUCCAAUAGAUGAUGACUAGCAAGUAUAUGUAGACAUACAGAUCUACAGAUCGCUACCGUAUAGCAACAUCCUAUAUACCAGAUAUGGAUCUAACAGAUCACUACAGCAUAUCAACAUCUUAUAUACAAGGAUACAAAUCUAACAAAUCGCUACCGUAUAGCAACAUCCUAUAUACCAGAUAUGGAUCUAACAGAUCACUACAGCAUAUCAACAUCUUAUAUACAAGGAUACAAAUCUAACAGAUCACCACAACAUAACAACAUCCUAUAUACCUGGAUACAAAUCUAACAAAUCACUAUAGCAUAACAACAUUUUAUAUACUAGGAUACAAAUCUAACAAAUCACUACAACAUAGCAACAUCCUAAAUACCAGGAUACAGAUCUAACAGAUCAUUGCAGCACAAUAACAUUCUAUAUAUCAUGAUACAUAUCUAACAGGUCACUAUAGCACAACAACAUCGUAUACACCAGGAUACCGAUCUAAAAAAUCACUACAACAUAGUAAUAUACUAAAUACCAACAAUCCAAGGAAUGCAUAACCAUAUAUAAUAAGAGGUGAGAUAGACAUCCUGACAGGUGUUCCUACUUUAGAGCCACAACUAAACGAGGAACAAGAAAGAAAUCCUAGAUCAAUAGUCCUCAGUUUAUCCUACAUGACUACAUACAAUCCUUAUGGCAUCCCUCCACUAAAAGAUAACCAAAACUAGUGGGUCGGCAUUGGUGCCUUCAACCCACGGGUACAAUGAGGCAAAACUCACUUGAAUCGAAGAACUCUGAAACACUACGAUAAAAUCCCUUUUUUGCAUUGCUUGCACCCGCAAAUCCGCUAAUUGCCACAAACAAGUAAAAUCUUAAUCACCAGUCAAACCCUCAAGUUUGACCUAAAGUAAAACUUGGUAAAAAAAUUCAAUGGUCAAUAGAAGUCAACAGUCAACAGUUCCUUACAACGUGACCAUUUAUGGCUCACGCCGUGAGCCAGUACAUGAAAAAAAUUUCGGAUCUCAUAAUCCUCACGACGUGAUAGGCAUAGCCUCACGUCGUGAGAUUAGUCUGAAUGCCAUUUUGAUCCAUAAACUUCUUAAUCCAUUAAGCCACUAAUUCAUCUUUUCCAAGAGGCUUCCUAACACCCCCAGGAUCAUAAAAGUUGAUGCUUUAAGGUCUUAUAUGUCCAAUAAUAUACUUGAGUUGAAACUAGGGCAUUCAUGAAGAAAAAGAAGAUCGCGUCUCAAGCAUGAACUCAAACAUCAACCAAACCUUAUACCCAUAACGUAUCAUCACCAAGGGACCCUAAGGAUCCAUAAAGUUGCUAACUUUAUGGAGUCCCAACACUCUAACUCUUGUAGCCAUGGAUAAACAUGCAUAAAACCUUAGAUCUACCAACAUGGAAACAAAGAUAUUGAAUCUUGGUUACUUAUAGUGGUCCAUAGGUGUUUCUAGAGGUUACAAAUGGAACUUCCAAGUUGAAUCUAUGCUUCAAUGGUGAUCUCUUCUUCUUCAAACCGCAAAAACUCCACCAAAAGCUCAAGAAUCACAAGGAAAGGCUAGGGUUAGGGGUUUUUUGUGCUUAAGGAUGAAUGUGACUAUUUUGGAACCCUGAAAUGAAGUUAUGGGAUUUAAAUAAGAAGGAAACCCUAAAAGAUCAUGGGCUUGGGUUGCAGCGCAUCUUACGUUGUGAGCUCUUAUUUCUCACGUCAUGAGCUCGUCAUAAUUCAACAUCUUCUUUUAAUGACUCCUCAUGUUGCGAACCCUCUAUGGUUACGUCGUGAUCCUUGGUUUUAUGAAAAAAACAUGUCUUUGACUCCUUGAAGCUCUAAAUCGAUCCGAUCGAGAAACCGGGUGUUAAAAUUUUGAUUAAAGUGCUUCUUUCUAACUCCAUUGGUUGGAUUUUCUUUAUAUUAUGAAGAUUUCUUAUUGAUAACCUAGACUUGCUUCAUAUUCCUUGGUUAUAGAGAUGGAUUCUUUAGAACCCAAAUCAUUUUUUUGUGGUCUUUGCUUUCUUUUAUUUGUUUGAUUUUACCUAUAAGAAGUAUUAUUAAAACAAGAACAUACAUCAUGAAGCUUACCAACAUGAGAUCUUUUGAUGUUUAGGGUUGGCGUUGUAGGUUGACUAUUGACAGGGUGACAUGGAGAGGCAACGUGAACUCUCUUUAUAGUGAGACUCGACUUGUCAUCAUGAACUGACCUGACAUUGUCUGAUGUCUUUACAGCUUGAGAUGGUUUAACAUUGCGAGAGGUGUUGGAAAUGCAAGAUUCCCUUGCAGUGUGAACAACCUUAUCAUGGUGAAUUGUUUUGACAGUAUCUGAUGUCUUGACAGCGUGGAAUUUCUCUACAAUGUGAGAUGAAGCUAAGGGAGUAGAUCAAUUACGAUUUGUAAUGAAUUCUCAAGAAGAUUUUCGAGAAUGAGUAGCUUGUGGUUUCUCAACAUGAAGCUUAUUAGUAUAUGAGUUGUUGUGAUCUUCAUUAGGGUGAAAACUAGGGUUUCUUGAAAACGAGAUUUCAUCAAGUAUUUAUUCUAUUUGAACACUAAUAGAUGAAAAACUUUUCAUCUGAACAUCCGUUUCUUUAAUCUUCUCUUUUAGAGCUAACAUCUCUAUCUCCCUUUCAACCAGAUUCUUCUUCAACACUUCUAUAUCUUCUUGUUUCUGAUUGAUGACUUUGUCUUUCAGAUCCAUUAUAGCUAUGAAGAAAAUAGAUAUAACUACCUUUGGAUCAUACAUCAGUUCAGAAAAAACAUGUUAAAGAACUUGCAUUGACUGCCCUUUUAUUUUUUGUACUUUCCUUGUUUUCUUCGUCAGAAAAAAACAUUUGUAUCUUUCUUGAUCAUUCCAAAUAAAAUAUCUUGUCUCUUCUAAGAGAUAUUAUAAGGUGUUGUAUUAGGUGGCUAAGCUCAUAACUAUAAUUGGUAUGUACUUGACCCGAAAGUAGCAUGGUCCUUUUGGGUUGCCUUCACCAGAAAAAUCUGAUAGGAUGGAUAUUUGAGAAAGAGAUUACUUGUCAUUUUUAAUAUAUUAUAAGUACAAUAUAUUAAUAUGAAAUCAUAUUUAAUUAGUAUUGAUCAAGAAUUAAUUUGGAAUUAAUUUUGUGAUAAAAAAAGACUAAUUAAAUUAACAGGGACUGAUUAUGUAAAUCGGUGAUAUAUAUAUAUANCUAUCAGAACAUGUCUCAUAGUAAGCUUUCCUUUGUCCUUGGCAUGUGGGCCAAGAUUAGGUAUACCAACACUAAUCACCUUUAACCCAUGUGUAAUUGGUUUUUCUUCUUCUUAACACUUCUAUUCACGAUAGUGAAUGGAUUAGGCUUUACCCAUGACUCUUGGAUUCCUACACUAUAUAUAUAUGACACCCCUUAGCCUAAAAUUGAGGACACUAGUAAUCUUGGAGAUACAAUAGCCGAAUUUAAGUGCCUAGAAGCGCUUUCUCAUUAUCCUCCAAUUGUUGGUGGUGUUUGUGACUUAUUAGAGACAUCACACUUGAGGUGUUAAGUUCUCAAAUGCCAAAAUUCAACAAGCUACAACAAGAGGUAAUAUUCUAACUUACUUUAUGAUUUAUAUGCCAAAUUGUACGCUAGUUGUAGGCUUCAUGCUUUGGGAAAUUUUAUUGCAUGUAUAACCAGAGAAAACUUAGAUCCAAAGCAUUUAGGGUUAUAUGUGCGCCAUAGGAUGUUGUAGUACAUCAAAACUAAUAGUGGUAUCUGAGCCAUGGGUUGUUUUAUGUUAUAUUGAUGCAUGCUUAAUUGUUCAAAGCUGGAAAAUUCAGUAAACUGCACUCUGCAAGGGGGACUCGACGAGUCGACUCAUGAACUCGGCGAGUUCAUAGUGAACUCGACGAGUCAGAUAAUUGUAGUUUUUCGAGGUUUUUGGCCAGAAUUGGAUUUGGAUCCUUACCUUAAACUGUUUUGUAUCAUAAAAUAUGUUUUUUUAUAUGGUAAUGGCUAUCCUCAUCCAAUUAAAAGAUAGUUGUCAAAAUUUUAAGAUAAUUGCCCUCAAGUUAUGGAAUAUGAGAAGUCUCAUUCAUGAAAAAAACAUUAACUCUUGUAAUUGAAAGGUUCAAAAGAUGCAACUCUUAGGUUCAUAACUUAAAAAUUAAUUAAACAGUUUUUAAUUUUGAGUUUUUAUAUUUAGAACCUUGAUGCUUUGACUAGUUUAAAUUACACCUUUAUGGAUUUCAUGUAAUUAAUUAAAGUGUAUAAUUAAAAGAGAUUAAUAAAUCCAUAAUCACAUGGUUCAAGUUUAAUUAAAUUAAGAGCAUAGUUUAAUUAUAUUAAACCACAAAGUAUUUUAAAAGUUUAAAAUACACCCUUAUACUAUAUAAAUUUAAAAGUUUAAUAUAUUAUAUAUGCAUUAGUAACAGGUCAGUCUUACCGUUAGUAGACCUCAUUCAUGAAGUCGGUCUAUAAGGGGGUAUAAGGAUACUUCCAAUAAAAUGGUGGUUUAAUGGGUGUCCACUCUCACCUACCGCUUCCUUGAAUGGUGGAGGGUUAUUAGCCAAACGGGUAGGAUAGGACAUUAAUUCUCAUUAAAAGUAUAAUGAUAAUUAUAAAGUAACUAAAUGUUUUAUAAAAUUCCCAAUCUUACUUACUUUAGGAAAAAUGUGAAUUUGGUGUUAAUCCAUGAAAUUGCACUUUGCACCUUGCCAAGUCGUUAGUGGAGCGUGUGUGGUUAACCGACAUACUAACUUGGACUAGUAAGGGUGGCAAAGGGUAGCUCGUAAUUUGUCAUAGAUCAAUGGAGUGUGUGUGGUUAACCGGCACAUUGAUUGGGCGAUAAAUGACAUUGAGAGUACCAAGCUAAUUUGCAUGGUUAUUCACACCUUGUUGGUGAUCCUCGGUAUCCCAGUCACAAACUUGAAGGGCAUAAUUGAGAUUAAACAUUCCAUUGAAAAGUUUAGUGAAUCUCAAAUAAUCUAGGAAUUUCAAUUCAUUUAAAACCUAAUAUUCAAUUUCGUUUUUCGUGAUGGACUUGGUAAAUCGUCAUUUACCUACCUUCAAAUAUUUUACAUUAGAUUACGACAUCCCUCUUUUGAAUUGUAGAAUAUAGUGUUGGGUCAUAGCCUUAAUAUUUAAUUUUGGGUGUCAUAUCAAGGACUUAAAUCAACUUAACUUGAAUUUCUCCCUUGUAGAUGUCUAGUUCAGACAACUAUGGUCUUCCUGAAUCUUAUGGAAAAAGCUUUCCUCAUGAAGAUGAUGUUCCCAUAAAUCAUACUUCACUUCCUCCACCUCCUCCAAUAAUUCUCCCUAACCCACAAUUUCGAAGACUUGAAAAGUUCAAGGUCACUCAAAACCUAUUGGCAAGCAAACACCAAGAUGGAAGGUUUGUGUGUGCACAUGUCUUGGAGAUGAAGCCACACAUUGACAGGCUGGGAAUGUUAGGAGUCGUUUUGUCGAUGAAGUUGGCUGUUGACUUAGUUCUUCAUUCACUUCCCGAGUCGUAGAGUCAGUUCGUUAAAGACUACUAUAUGACAGACCGCGACGUGGCCCUUAUUGAUCUUACCUAUUUUCUAAUUGCUGCUGAAUCAGAAAUGAUUUGGCGCACUAGUCAAGAAAAUUUGAAUUGAAGAUAUACCUGUUGUGUUUAGAGCAUUCUAACACUCCUAAGUGUACAUGAAACCCUAAAUACCUUGGAUCUAUGUUUUCUCUAUUAUACAUGCAAAUAUGAUCUUUCUAAGGUAUUCAUCCUAACUAGCAUAAUAACAUUGAUUCAAAUGAAUAUAUCAAGUUAGAAUUACAUACCUCUUUGAUGUAGAUUGUCUUCAUGAAGCUUGAGUGCCUAGUGCCCCAAGUGUGACACCUCAAAUGGUUCACACAACACCAAAUACACAUGGAAUGACUUGAGAGAAAUUCACACUUCAUGAAAAAUGGCUAGCCCUUCCUAUCACUCAUAGUGGCCGAUUUUCUCCAAGAAUAAGAUGAUUAUAUAGUUAGGGUUACACCAUGUAAACCCUAAUUGUCAUGGCCUUUCAUUUCCAUGAUCCAUGGGUACAAAUACACCAUGGAGCAUCUUAUGGGUUUUAGCCCAACUUGACAAUCCAUGGAGCAUUAGCCCACUAUAUAAGUAUGGAUGAUUUACACAAUCAACCCAUAUAUUUAAUUAGUCUUCUUUUGAUCACUUAAUUAAUCCUAGAUUAAUUCUUGAUCAAUACUAAUUAAAUAAUCUUAUUAUUCUUAUUAUUAAUAUACUAGAACUUAUAAUAUAUUAAUAACCAUAAGUGUCUUAUUUCUCUCAUUAUAGUCUAUCCAAGUGCAUGAUGGUAUGCAACCCAAAUGGACCAUGCCGGGUCGGGUCAAGUCUUACCAAUUAUAGUUAUGGACUUAGACAUUAAUCCAACAGUCUCCCACUUGGAUAAGUCUAAAACUAUUAUUGCGUAUGACUUCAGGAACCAACUGGCAAUCGUAGCUCUCAAAAGCUUCUGUCGAACUCUGACCUUGUAGAUGAACUCUGACCUUUGUCAAUGACUUGUCCAUUAGAUAAGGGAUCAUAUAUUCCUCCAUUCUAGAUAUCAUAUGGACUGAGACAUGGAUUAUAAUCAUUCUCUCUGUCCAUUUGUUGUUUCCCGAUUUCCGAUUUAUGACGACUGACUAAUUGAACAAAUCAAAUCAGUCCUGGCCCGGCCGAGCACUUCCAUUUGUCAUCAUCAAAUCAUCGAGGGGCCCACAGAUAUCGCUUUUAUCCCGAAGGUAAAAGGAAUGGAUAAACUUCGACUCAUAUGGCUUGUUCUACUACUUGUUGAAUCAUACACAAAGGCACGUUUUAUAGCACCGAGUUACCAAAUGCGUUUUCGUGCAAUCAAUGUACUAUCAACUCAUAGUAACAACUCAUAUCUCUAGGUUUGAAGAAUAUAAGAUAUUAUCGUCUCAUGAUCACUCGUGAUAAAAUCCAUGAAGUGAUUCCAAUGAGCGCGGGUUGAAUCCAAUACUCAGAACUUAUGAGCACUCAUGAGUGUUGUAGCCCUUUGUCCAACACCUUAGACCUCUACAAGCCAACCCAUGACAGUCUUAAUUCAUAUCUACUUCCAACAUAUGACCGACUGUGGAUGGUUUGAAUAACUUAGUCAUUCCGGGAGAACUGGAAGUCAAAACAUGCAAAAUGGAACACAAUAAUAAUUGAAUCAUAAUAAUUGAAUCCAAUAUGGUAUCAACCCUUUGAACAUAAAUAAAACACCUUUUAUUUAUCACCAUAUGAUUACACAUUAUUCAUUGUAUACUGUUUCAGCUAUCAACUUUAUUCUUGAAUUUAAAACAAUAGUUGUCCCAUGCUCCAAGCAUGUACACUAUGUUUUCUUAAACACUAGUCAUGCCACACACCAAGUAUGCAUACUAUGUUUGUCUAUGAUCUUUACUUUGUGAACUAGAUCAAUUGAACAUAACUUCAAUGAUUCUCUUUUCACACUCCCAAAUCCUUACUGCAAAUGCAAGAAUUCCAAAUUCAUGCCAUUUACUGAAAUCUGUUAGAUUCUAAACUUAUAUGCAUUGAUCCUCUUGUAAUGAUUAUGCACAAAGUCACAAAGACUUGGCAACAAUCAUUACAGAGUAUUCCAAAGGAGAUCAACUCCUUGGAAAUAUCCUUCUUGCAUUAAGUUUCCUUAAUCUUACACAGAUUGAAAAUUCUAACUUUGAAACAUUUCCAGAUUCCAUUUUGACUAUCACUUCUGAACAAGAGUUGCGUCCUUACAGAUUAUGUUAGUGUGGUCCUUCUAGAGUUAUCACUAUACUUCCAACUGUCCUUGAGCAGCCAAUCUUUGGUAAACCUCAGAUUGUUCUCGACAAUUGUUUAAUCCUUUAAGUCAUAUCCAGUUCUAAACAUUUUCCCUUCUUAAUGCCCCAGGCAUUUGGAAAAUUUUAGAACGGAUGAAUAUAGCACAUGUAAUCGAUCCUAUAUCCGAAGCAUAUGGGACACGAUUCAUGAUGUCUCACAUAAAGACUAAACCAGUCUUUUGCUAUAAUAUUUCCAUUUCAAUUUGCCAAGUUCUCAUAAUUCAGAUUAUGAAAAGGGAUGCCGUAAUCAUAAUCGAAUUUUAGAACGCAAAUAAUGGACCCAUAUACAGAAUUUCCUUAUGUUGAGCCAUUCCAACAUGAAAUUCAUAUAUAUCCUUGACUAAAUGAUUAAAACCUCACGAUCUAAGCUUAUAGAUUUGAGAUGAAGCAUAAUUUCCUCUCCCUUAAUUAUAGCAAAACAACUUUUUCCCAAUUGAAACUUUUGUUUUCUAUAAUUAACAUUGCUAACUUGCAAUACUUAUCAUAAUUAUCAUGCUCCCACUAACAUGAUGAUUAUUAGCAUAACACUUAUGCUCCCACUAGCUUUGACAUGUACUCAGAAAUCAGCUGGACUUCUAGAAAUCAAUACUUCAUUGACUUUCUUACCAAAGUUCAGAUUUCUGAUACUAGAUUGUUUUGAUAAAACUUUAUCAAAAUCAUACACCUUCCCUUAGAUAGCACACUUGUGUGUCUAAACAAUUAUGAAGAGGUAUGCCGUAAUCAUAAUGGUUAGACCUUUUUGCCACUUCUCACAAGUCCAUGUUAGUGUGCCGGUUAACCACACGCGCUCUACUAACGACUUUGAGAGUGCAAAUAUCAUACUUGCUAUCUAGCUAAAAUCUACUUAGUGAAAGUGUUUCCUCACCAUCAUUUUCAUGAAUCGGAGAGAAACCUUAUGCCACUUAGAUUUAAUGGUGUAAGUGUUCUUAUCCAUGUGAAUUGUCAAAACCAUAGUCACAAGACAAGGAUAAUGACAAAUCCAAACUCAUAUGGACUGAACUCAAUCUUAAUUUCUUGCCACCUGGCAGCUCAAGGGCCUGCCAUUGCUUCCAAGUUGUUGUGCAACUAAUUGAGAACUCUAAGAACUCAUAUGCAAAGCCAACUUUAACUGGAAUGGGCACAGAAUAUGUCAACACGAUAGGUUAUAAACCUCAAGUCGUGUGCUAGUGAAGAACUUCAGGUUUUAUUCUUGAUUAGUUCUUGAGACUUUCAAGACCUUUAAGACUCCCACUGUCCUCUUGACCUAUAAGACUCCCUUGUCAAAUAUCCAAGAGAUAGUGUGGAUUCUAAUCAAGACAAACACUUCACACAAUUGGCCUAAGUUGGUCUUUGUUUUAUCCAAAACAUCACAACUUACCAAUUUCAAAUGUACAAGAGUAGAAAACUUUUACUCUUACAUUUGACAAGUGUUUUAAACCUUCUUUAAGACAUGUCACUCAAGUUACAAUCUUGGAGUAUGACUCUAAGACUUGUAUUGGAACGAAGUAUGACUCAUCUUCUUGAUUUAACCACUUCAAAAAUCCAUAGCUCCUCUUCUUAGCUAUCAGAAUGCACUUACACGAUGAAUUGUGAUAAGGUCUCUAAAUCAUUAAGAUGAUCAUAAAAACUGAUACUAAAGUACUCUCCCAUCUUUUCAAAUUUGAGAAACUUUUAUCUUUCUGCCUAAUUUGACUCUUCUUAUUCGUUCUGUCUUACAUUGAAACUUUUCCAAUGUUUCAGAAUUAUACUUAAACUUGUAAGUAUAACCAUAUUUACUUAACUUAAGUAAAUCAUGACGAAUAGUCUUAUCGAUCUUUUGUGGUGGACUUAAUCAGUGCACAAGAAUGUGUAUGUAAUACCCUGUCUAUUUAUUAAAUAAAUAAAUAAAUAAAUGAACAAAUGGUAGCCCUAAAAUAAAUAAUUACAUAUCAAAGGAUGGUCUCGAGGAGCUAAUUGUCACAAGUUUAGAAGAUGGAGGUUAAAAGUGUAAAAUAUGGAUUUAAUUUGUAAGUAUUAAUGAAGUCAAGGACUAAAUUGUAACUUCUUGACUUCAUUUUAAGGGAUUUUAGAGGCUUAGGGGUUGUAUUGUAAAUUAGGGGCUUUAUUUUGUAAGGAAUUAUGGAAGGGAUGGCUAAAGGGUAACUUUUGGAUUUAAAUUGAAAAGGAUAUGGUAAGGAGGGACUAGAGGUGACAAAUUUGUAGAAAGUUUGGAUGGGAUAUAGGACUUUAAACNNNNNNNNNNNNNNNNNNNNNNNNNNNNNNNNNNNNNNNNNNNNNNNNNNNNNNNNNNNNNNNNNNNNNNNNNNNNNNNNNNNNNNNNNNNNNNNNNNNNNNNNNNNNNNNNNNNNNNNNNNNNNNNNNNNNNNNNNNNNNNNNNNNNNNNNNNNNNNNNNNNNNNNNNNNNNNNNNNNNNNNNNNNNNNNNNNNNNNNNNNNNNNNNNNNNNNNNNNNNNNNNNNNNNNNNNNNNNNNNNNNNNNNNNNNNNNNNNNNNNNNNNNNNNNNNNNNNNNNNNNNNNNNNNNNNNNNNNNNNNNNNNNNNNNNNNNNNNNNNNNNNNNNNNNNNNNNNNNNNNNNNNNNNNNNNNNNNNNNNNNNNNNNNNNNNNNNNNNNNNNNNNNNNNNNNNNNNNNNNNNNNNNNNNNNNNNNNNNNNNNNNNNNNNNNNNNNNNNNNNNNNNNNNNNNNNNNNNNNNNAAGUUUUAGGAAGUUGAUCUUAGCAAAUAGAUAAGAUCAUUAAGGGUCUUUUCAUAGUCUGUUUCAUAGGAGUCCCAAAGUAACUCACUAUGUGACUUAGAAAGUAGUUGAGCCACCAACGUUUUAGAGACUUUGACACCCAACUCUCUCGGCUUUUCAAUAUGUGACUACAUCUCCAAGAUGUGAUCACACAUAGACCUUUGAUUGCCAAUAGGGCUUGAGUGACCUUAAACUUUUCAAAAACUUGUGGGUUAUGGAGAAAAAUUGGAGGAGGUGAAAGAAGUAUGAUUUCCAUGGGAUAUCAUCUUCAUUUAGGAAAACUUGUUUCAAGAGAUUUGGGAAGAUCAUAGAUGUCUAAACCAGACAUCUUUUGGGAGAUAUUCAAGAUAGUUGAUUUAAAGUCCUUAAUAUAACACCCAAUAUGAAAUAUUAAGGCUAGGACCCAACACAAUACUUGUAUAACUUGGAAGAGGGAUGUCGUAAUCCAAGCUAUAAAAUAUUUGAAGGUAGGUGAAUGACGAUGUUUCAUUCUAGAAAACGAAAUGUAUUAUUAGGUUUUAAUUGGAUUUGAAACUCCUAGAUCUUUGAGAUUCAUUGAACUUUUCAAUGGCAUGUUUCAAUCUCGAGUGUGCCCUUCAGGUUUUGUGACUGGGAUGCCGAGGAUCACAAAACAAGGUGUGAAGUAACCAUGCAAAUAUACUGGGUACCCUUAAUAUUUACCCCUUAAUCGAUGUGCCGGUUAACCACACACGCUCCACCGAUACUAUGAUAAAUAUUAAGUUACCCUUUGCCUACCUUGUUUAGUCCAAGUUAGUGUGUCGGUUAACCAAACACGCUCCACUAACCGACUCAAACAAAGUGCAAAGUGUAAUUUCAUAGAUUAGCACCUUAUUCAAUUUUUCCUAAGUAACUAAGAUUGGGUAUUUAUAAAAGGUUUAGUUACUUAGUAUUUAUCAUUAAUACUUUUAAUGAAGGGAGAAUUAUAGUCCUUGUCCUACCCGUUCGGCUAACGACCCUCCACCAGUCAAGGAAGCGGUGGGUGAGAGUGGACACCCAUUAAACUGCCAUUUUAUAGGCAGUAACCUUAUACCCCCCUUAUAGACCGGCUUCGUGAAUGAGGCCUACUAACGGUAAGACUGACUUUACUCUUAUACAUAUAUAUAAAUAUUAUUAACUUAUAAUAUUAUAAAGUAUAAGGGUUGAAUUUUAACUUUUAAAAUUCUAAGGGCUAACUUGGAAUUAAAGUAUUCAUAAGUGAAAACUUUUCAAAUUCCAAAACUUGAGGGCAAGUUUUGAAACUAUUCAAAACUAAUUAAUUCCAUAACUUAUGUGUUUAAAGUAGUUUUAAUCCAAAAACUCUUCAAGUUCCAUAACUUGAGGACAAGUUAUGGAAGACUUUAAACUAAUAAAAGAAUUAACUUUUUCUUUAUUUUAUAACUUAUGGAUUUAAUUAUGGUUACAUAUUUUUCUUUAAAUGAAGUGACUCUUGAACUUCCAUAACUUGAGGACAAGUUAUGGAGUCAUAAAAAAAUAUUCAAUGACACAAGACUCUUCAUUUUGUAACCAUUGCCAACUUUUAUGAAUUUUAUGAGUCUUUAAUGUGACUCUUCAUGUAACUUGAGGACAAGUUACACAAACACAUUUUAUACUCAACUCUUAGAUUAAAAUGGAUUGAAAACAACUAUUUCAAUUAACUUUUCUAUUAAUCUAAGCAACUCAUAAGAACAAGAUAAUUCAAAUCAAACUUUUUCAUGUAAUUAGUCUAAACCUUAAACUAAUACAAAACAUGAAUCUAUUGACAAUUAUCUUUGAAAAUGGAUUAGCAUGAACAUUACCACAUCAAAAACAAGUUUAUAAGUUCAAAAACAACUUAGGGUAAUGUUCCUAGUCCAUUUCUAGCCAAAAAACUCGAAAAUAUGCUGUCUGGGGGUCCAACUCGUCGAGUGCAUGAACCAACUCGGCGAGUUGGAUCGAAUUGAUCACUUUUUAGGCAUGGACUCGCCGAGUCUCCUGAUGGACUCGCCGAGUCUGAUGAUCAGACAGCACCAAAUUCGUUUUUUCAGCUUCU